UGGCAUACGAGCCUAUAAGGCCGACAUAAUUAUUUGUAUACUCAAGACAUAAGCCGAUAAGGCCAUACAAGUAUCCAUAUACAUGUCAUCUAUCUACAAGCCUCUAAGAGUACAUAAAUAUCAUAAAGGUCGGGACAAAGCCUCAUCAUACCAAUCAAUACAUAUUCAAAUCAUACUAACCAAAUAGGCAACUUCGGAGCAAGUGGAGUGCACAAACACCUUCUGCUGAGCUGAUAGCCUACUAGGAGAACUCUCAACCUAUCUAUCGGGACCUUCUGUCAUGAAAUGCAGCGUCCCCAGGCAAAAGGGACGUAAGUACAAAUAAAGUGCCGAGUAUAAAAGGCAUGAAAGAAACAUGGAGUAAGGAACUCAACCUUUAAAUCUGAAUAGCUUUGUGAAUUAUGAAAAUAUUUAUAAUGUCAUGCAUGUGCGUAUAAAUGCCAUACCAUGCAUAAGUAUAUGCGUACAUAACAUCAUCAAGCCUCUGAGGGCAUCCCAUCAUAUCAUCUCAGCCACUGUGGGCGAAAUCAUCAACGUAUACCAGCUAAUCAAGUGGUGGUGAGUAUAUAACGCCAUAACCUUUUUCAUAUCCCAUAUACAUAUAAUAUACGCGUAUAUAACGCCAUGUGGUCAUGGGUCAAUGUACAUGUAUAAAUGAAUGCAAUGCAUAAGGAAGUAAAUCUAUAAGAUCUCUCAGAAUAUCAUAAGACCCAUGAACAGACGAUAUGAUAGUAGGAAAUAGAACAUAGGAAACCCUAGUACUUCUAGGAAUAGAAUUAUUUGUGAAAGUUGCGUACUUGCUCAUUUCUUGUAUCAUAUGGAUCAUGCCAAAAAGGAAAUAAGGGAUAGCCUUAACAUACCUUAUCACAAUCUUUCCAAUCAUCAAGUUGAACUCGCCUCUUCGUACCUUAAUC
This 914-nucleotide long non-coding RNA is filed under the name Nicotiana tabacum (common tobacco). RNAcentral's name for it is "long non-coding RNA (NTAB_LNC018737)". Lineage: Eukaryota; Viridiplantae; Streptophyta; Magnoliopsida; Solanales; Solanaceae. The record is from RNAcentral.